GACGAACGCUGGCGGCGUGCUUAACACAUGCAAGUCGAACGGAAAGGCCCUGCUUUUGUGGGGUGCUCGAGUGGCGAACGGGUGAGUAACACGUGAGUAACCUGCCCUUGACUUUGGGAUAACUUCAGGAAACUGGGGCUAAUACCGGAUAGGAGCUCCUGCUGCAUGGUGGGGGUUGGAAAGUUUCGGCGGUUGGGGAUGGACUCGCGGCUUAUCAGCUUGUUGGUGGGGUAGUGGCUUACCAAGGCUUUGACGGGUAGCCGGCCUGAGAGGGUGACCGGCGAAGGUGGGACGGAGAUACGGACCAGACUCCUACGGGAGGCAGCAGUGGGGAAUAGUGCAAAAUGGGCGGAAGCCUUAUGCAGCAACGCCGCGUGCGGGAUGACGGCCUGCGGGUUGUAAACCGCUUUCGCCUGUGACGAAGCGUGAGUGACGGUAAUGGGUAAAGAAGCACCGGCUAACUACGUG
RNAcentral lists this ribosomal RNA (468 nucleotides) under uncultured bacterium. RNAcentral's name for it is "partial 16S ribosomal RNA". It matches the Rfam family "Bacterial small subunit ribosomal RNA", at positions 28 to 507 of the family's 1533-position model. The record is from RNAcentral.